CUUCAGCGAACCGAGCCACAACGGCCGGUCCGCGUCCCGCUCCUGACCGUAGGUGGCCAGCAGCGCCUCCGCUUC
The sequence is a non-coding RNA, 75 nucleotides long. It matches the Rfam family "ASpks TB sRNA". The record is from Rfam.